RNAcentral lists this transfer RNA (73 nucleotides) under Gigantopelta aegis. RNAcentral's name for it is "tRNA-Val". It matches the Rfam family "tRNA". Rfam says of the family: Transfer RNA (tRNA) molecules are approximately 80 nucleotides in length. Their secondary structure includes four short double-helical elements and three loops (D, anti-codon, and T loops). The record is from RNAcentral. Lineage: Eukaryota; Metazoa; Mollusca; Gastropoda; Neomphalida; Peltospiridae.
GGUUUCGUGGUGUAGUGGUUACCACGUCUGCUUUACACGCAGAAGGUAGCGAGUUCGAGCAUCGCCGAAACCU